UUCUUGCGCUGGAUUGCUGCUCCGACAUUUUUUGUCGGGGAGGAAAGUCCGAACACUUGCCGCUUUCGGGCGGCAGCAGGGUAGCGGGUAACGCCCGUCGCGUCCGUGGUACGACGGCGCCGAGGUGCGAGCAGAGACGCCGAGGUGCGAAAGCGCCGAGGCGCCGAGCACUAAAUGAAUUUAGUGCUCGGCGAGUCCCGAUGGCAACGUCGGGGGUGAAACGGCUAAAUCCUUACCUGAGUGCAAGGCCGUGUCCCGACUUCGGUCGGGAAGUGCCGCUUGAGCCGUGCAGUAAUGUACGGCCCAGAUAAAUAGCGAUCCAUUGAGUGCCGCAAGGUGCUCGAGGACAGAAUUCGGCUUAUAGGCGCAAGCGUACC
RNAcentral lists this RNase P RNA (377 nucleotides) under Candidatus Yonathbacteria bacterium RIFOXYC1_FULL_52_10. Its description in RNAcentral is "RNase P RNA component class A". It matches the Rfam family "Bacterial RNase P class A". From Rfam's summary of the family: Ribonuclease P (RNase P) is a ubiquitous endoribonuclease, found in archaea, bacteria and eukarya as well as chloroplasts and mitochondria. Its best characterised activity is the generation of mature 5'-ends of tRNAs by cleaving the 5'-leader elements of precursor-tRNAs. RNAcentral also lists the same sequence under 1 other name. Lineage: Bacteria; Candidatus Yonathiibacteriota. The record is from RNAcentral.